This 492-nucleotide ribosomal RNA is filed under the name uncultured bacterium. RNAcentral describes it as "partial 16S ribosomal RNA". It matches the Rfam family "Bacterial small subunit ribosomal RNA", at positions 29 to 507 of the family's 1533-position model. The record is from RNAcentral.
AGUGAACGCUGGCGGUAGGCCUAACACAUGCAAGUCGAACGGCAGCACAGUAAGAGCUUGCUCUUACGGGUGGCGAGUGGCGGACGGGUGCGGAAUACAUCGGAAUCUACUUUUUCGUGGGGGCUAACGUAGGGAAACUUACGCUAAUACCGCAUACGACCUACGGGUGAAAGCAGGGGAUCUUCGGACCUUGCGCGAUUGUAUGAGCCGAUGUCGGCUUAGCUAGUUGGCGGGGUAAAGGCCCACCAAGGCGACGCUCCGUAGCUGGUCUGAGAGGAUGAUCAGCCACACUGGAACUGAGACACGGUCCAGACUCCUACGGGAGGCAGCAGUGGGGAAUAUUGGACAAUGGGCGCAAGCCUGAUCCAGCCAUACCGCGUAGGUGAAGAAGGCCUUCGGGUUGGAAAGCCCUUUUGUUGGGAAAGAAAAGCAGCAGGUUAAUACCCCGCUGUUCUGACGGUACCCAAAGAAUAAGCACCGGCUAACUUCGUG